Molecule: ribosomal RNA, 842 nt
Filed under: Mycobilimbia carneoalbida
Lineage: Eukaryota; Fungi; Ascomycota; Lecanoromycetes; Lecideales; Lecideaceae
Description: SSU rRNA
Rfam family: Bacterial small subunit ribosomal RNA
Source: RNAcentral
GGAAUGAAUAGCGAUAGCUAAUUGCACUAGAUUCUAGUGCAAUAUCGACUAUGUUGAAUAAAAUUCUGGGUAUAAUUAUGAUAAUGACAUUGUUUACUCAUGUGUCUUGACCAAAUUACGUGCCAGCAGUCGCGGUAAUACGUAGAAGACUAGUGUUAUUCAUCUUUAAUAGGUUUAAAGGGUACCUAGACGGUAAAUCAAUCCCUUGCGUAGCAUUACGGAACUAAUUUACUAGAGUUACUUACAAGGGGGUUAUAAAGUACUAAUGGUGUAGAGAUGAAAUUUUGUAAUACCAUUUUCUGAAAGGAAAGUUAUGGCACUGGUAAAGGCGAAAGCAUCCCCUUAUGUGAUAACUGACGUUGAAGGACGAAGGCUUUGGAUCGCGAAUAGGAUUAGAUACCCUAGUAGUCAAUGCAGAAAAUGAUGAGUGUCAUAGAUUAGAUAUUUAAAUUUAUUCUAUAAAUGAAAGUGUAAGCACUCCACCUCAAGAGUAAUUUGGCAACAUUGGAACUGAAAUCAUUAGACCGUUUCUGAAACCAGUAGUGAAGUAUGUUGUUUAAUUUGAUAAUCCGCAAAAAACCUUACCACAAUUUGAAUAUGGAUAUCAUUGAUAUCUUUACAAGCGUUGCACGGCUGUCUACAGUUAAUGUCGUGAGACUUUGGUUAGAUCCAUUAAAUUAACGCAAACCCUUACUUUAUUUAAAAAUAAAGUUGUUCCCCACUAUAUUGGAUAUGAUAACAGGGACUAAGACAAGUCAUCAUGGCCUGAAUCUUUGUGGGCUAUAGACGUGCCACAUAGACCUUUACAAAAGGGUGUGAAAUUGUGAAAUUGAACUAAUCCC